Molecule: ribosomal RNA, 521 nt
Filed under: uncultured bacterium
Lineage: Bacteria
Description: bacterial SSU rRNA
Rfam family: Bacterial small subunit ribosomal RNA
Source: RNAcentral
GACGAACGCUGGCGGCGUGCCUAACACAUGCAAGUCGAGCGGGGUUGUCUCUGGCACUGAGUAUUUUGGGAAGGUUAAAGGGGACAAAAUAUUCAGUGCUGGAGAUAACCUAGCGGCGGACGGGUGAGUAACACGUGGGUAACCUGCCUUUGACUGGGGGAUAACACCGGGAAACCGGUGCUAAUACCGCAUAACAUGGCGUGUCGGCAUCGGCAUGUCAUCAAAGGAGAAAUCCGGUUGAAGAUGGGCCCGCGGCCGAUUAGCUAGUUGGUGAGGUAACGGCCCACCAAGGCGACGAUCGGUAGCCGAACUGAGAGGUUGGUCGGCCACAUUGGGACUGAGACACGGCCCAGACUCCUACGGGAGGCAGCAGUGGGGAAUAUUGCGCAAUGGGGGGAACCCUGACGCAGCAACGCCGCGUGAAGGAAGAAGGUCUUCGGAUUGUAAACUUCUUUGGCAGGGGACGAAAGAAGACGGUACCCUGAGAACAAGCCACGGCUAACUACGUGCCAGCAGCCGAC